CCUACGGGGGGCUGCAGUGGGGAAUAUUGGACAAUGGGGGGAACCCUGAUCCAGCCAUGCCGCGUGUGUGAAGAAGGCCCUCGGGUUGUAAAGCACUUUCAGUGAGGAAGAACGCCUGGUGGUUAAUACCCAUCAGGAAAGACAUCACUCACAGAAGAAGCACCGGCUAACUCCGUGCCAGCAGCCGCGGUAAUACGGAGGGUGCGAGCGUUAAUCGGAAUUACUGGGCGUAAAGCGCGCGUAGGUGGCUUGAUAAGCCGGUUGUGAAAGCCCCGGGCUCAACCUGGGAACGGCAGCCGGAACUGUCAAGCUAGAGUGCAGGAGAGGAAGGUAGAAUUCCCGGUGUAGCGGUGAAAUGCGUAGAGAUCGGGAGGAAUACCAGUGGCGAAGGCGGCCUUCUGGACUGACACUGACACUGAGGUGCGAAAGCGUGGGUAGCAAACAGGAUUAGAUACCCCGGUAGUC
RNAcentral lists this ribosomal RNA (465 nucleotides) under Vreelandella stevensii. RNAcentral's name for it is "partial 16S ribosomal RNA". It matches the Rfam family "Bacterial small subunit ribosomal RNA", at positions 338 to 795 of the family's 1533-position model. Lineage: Bacteria; Pseudomonadati; Pseudomonadota; Gammaproteobacteria; Oceanospirillales; Halomonadaceae. The record is from RNAcentral.